Molecule: ribosomal RNA, 253 nt
Filed under: uncultured bacterium
Lineage: Bacteria
Description: partial 16S ribosomal RNA
Rfam family: Bacterial small subunit ribosomal RNA
Source: RNAcentral
UACGGGGGGGGCAAGCGUUGUUCGGAAUUACUGGGCGUAAAGGGCGCGUAGGCGGUGCUCUAAGUUAGAUGUGAAAACUCUGGGCUCAACCCAGAGCCUGCAUCUAAAACUGGAGUGCUAGAGUUCUGGAGGGGGUAGCGGAAUUCCUGGUGUAGCGGUGAAAUGCGCAGAUAUCGGGAGGAACACCAAUUGCGAAGGCAGCUCGCUGGGACGUCACUGACGCUGAGACGCGAAAGCGUGGGGAGCAAACAGG